RNAcentral lists this transfer RNA (73 nucleotides) under Planctomycetota bacterium. RNAcentral describes it as "tRNA-Thr". It matches the Rfam family "tRNA". From Rfam's summary of the family: Transfer RNA (tRNA) molecules are approximately 80 nucleotides in length. Their secondary structure includes four short double-helical elements and three loops (D, anti-codon, and T loops). The record is from RNAcentral. Lineage: Bacteria; Pseudomonadati; Planctomycetota. RNAcentral also lists the same sequence under 1 other name.
GCCGCUGUAGCUCAGUUGGUAGAGCAGCUGAUUUGUAAUCAGCAGGUCGCCGGUUCGGAUCCGGCCAGCGGCU